This is a long non-coding RNA of Oncorhynchus masou masou (cherry salmon), 826 nucleotides long. RefSeq lists it as uncharacterized. The record is from RefSeq and is a predicted model, not a curated record. NCBI's taxonomy places the organism in Eukaryota, Metazoa, Chordata, Actinopteri, Salmoniformes, Salmonidae. The transcript has 4 exons.
UCUGAUUUAACCACGCUGUGCUUUGCUAGCAAACCUAAAACCGAAACAUUUGAGCUCUUUAGACCAAUAUUGUGUAUAUUACUCUUAGGGUUUUCAACAUAAUUCUGUUUACAUAUCUACUGCUUCAUUUAAACGUAAUUUGCUUGUUAACUUAGCAAAUGUGUUACAUUGAUACUGCACUAGGCUAAUCUCCCGGAGCAUAAACUCACUAAUCUAGACGGAGAAAGAAACUGGUGAAAGGAGGCAAAGAAGCUUGAAGAAUGAAUAAGGAGGCGAUCACAUUGAAACAAGAGGAUGAUAUUACAGUGAAAGAGGAAUAUGGGAACGAGGUUGUCAAAGUGGAAAAAGAGGUAGAAGCUUUCAGAAUCAAAAAGGAGGAAGAUGCCGUAAAAUUGAAAGAGGAGGAAGACCCCUUUAGAGUAAAAGAGGAUAUCUCAAAAGAGGAAGUCGUUUAGGGAGUGAAAAAUGAGACUGAAGAUCCGAUUACCACCAGAGCGAGACAUGACUAUGGUGGAUCCUCUGGGGAGCCUCAACAACAUCCUGAUGCUGACGAGGCAGAGAAGAGUCUCUCCAGAUCAGAACACCAGAUGGACAACGCUAGCCCCUUCUCCCUCCCGGAGUCCCCGUUUCGUACCUCUUCCGGUAGCACCUUACUGCUGGGUAGGAAGAGGUUGUCUGUGCUGCUGGUGGACUGCAGGAAAACAACGGGGCUGAGUGGAACUGUGAGAGGAGGAGAAGAAAAGAAAGGAUCAGAUUUGACACAUCAAAAAAUUGACCAGGAGAGUGACACUGAAGAAAUGGAUGAGGACUCUGUGGGUGACCAGAG